Molecule: ribosomal RNA, 503 nt
Filed under: Pseudoalteromonas sp. 5Bb1S47
Lineage: Bacteria; Pseudomonadati; Pseudomonadota; Gammaproteobacteria; Alteromonadales; Pseudoalteromonadaceae
Also listed under: 2 other names
Description: bacterial SSU rRNA
Rfam family: Bacterial small subunit ribosomal RNA
Source: RNAcentral
AGCCUGAUGCAGCCAUGCCGCGUGUGUGAAGAAGGCCUUAGGGUUGUAAAGCACUUUCAGUCAGGAGGAAAGGUUAGUAGUUAAUACCUGCUAGCUGUGACGUUACUGACAGAAGAAGCACCGGCUAACUCCGUGCCAGCAGCCGCGGUAAUACGGAGGGUGCGAGCGUUAAUCGGAAUUACUGGGCGUAAAGCGUACGCAGGCGGUUUGUUAAGCGAGAUGUGAAAGCCCCGGGCUUAACCUGGGAACUGCAUUUCGAACUGGCAAACUAGAGUGUGAUAGAGGGUGGUAGAAUUUCAGGUGUAGCGGUGAAAUGCGUAGAGAUCUGAAGGAAUACCGAUGGCGAAGGCAGCCACCUGGGUCAACACUGACGCUCAUGUACGAAAGCGUGGGGAGCAAACAGGAUUAGAUACCCUGGUAGUCCACGCCGUAAACGAUGUCUACUAGGAGCUGGGGUCUUCGGACAACUUUUCCAAAGCUAACGCAUUAAGUAGACCGCCUGG